GGCCCGGUGGCAGAUCGUCUGCACCUGCAUUGAUUGCACGAUAUGCAAUAAAUCAAUAUCACAGGAGACGCUCGUUCGAUUCGAGCCUGGGUCG
Molecule: non-coding RNA, 94 nt
Organism: Mycena rosella
Lineage: Eukaryota; Fungi; Basidiomycota; Agaricomycetes; Agaricales; Mycenaceae
Source: the annotation of a GenBank genome assembly